This 453-nucleotide ribosomal RNA is filed under the name uncultured Porphyromonadaceae bacterium. Its description in RNAcentral is "partial 16S ribosomal RNA". It matches the Rfam family "Bacterial small subunit ribosomal RNA", at positions 341 to 792 of the family's 1533-position model. Lineage: Bacteria; Pseudomonadati; Bacteroidota; Bacteroidia; Bacteroidales; Porphyromonadaceae. The record is from RNAcentral.
ACGGAAGGCAGCAGUGAGGAAUAUUGGUCAAUGGGCGGAAGCCUGGACCAGCCAAGUCGCGUGAAGGAUGAAGGUAUUAUGUAUUGUAAACUUCUUUAGCAGUGGAGUAAUAAGGAGGUCGAGACCUCUGAUGCAAGUACACUGAAAAUAAGGAUCGGCUAACUCCGUGCCAGCAGCCGCGGUAAUACGGAGGAUCCGAGCGUUAUCCGGAUUUAUUGGGUUUAAAGGGUGCGCAGGCGGCCUUGUAAGUCAGCGGUUAAAUCGUGGAGCUCAACUCCAUCCCGCCGUUGAUACUGCAGGGCUUGAUUGCGGUCGAGGUUGGCGGAAUUCGUCGUGUAGCGGUGAAAUGCAUAGAUAUGACGAAGAACACCGAUUGCGUAGGCAGCUGACCAGGCCGUAAAUGACGCUCAUGCACGAAAGUGCGGGGAUCGAACAGGAUUAGAUACCCUGGUA